GGUUCCAUGGUGUAAUGGUAAGCACUCUGGACUCUGAAUCCAGUGAUCCGAGUUCGAGUCUCGGCGGGACCU
Molecule: non-coding RNA, 72 nt
Organism: Piliocolobus tephrosceles (Ugandan red Colobus)
Lineage: Eukaryota; Metazoa; Chordata; Mammalia; Primates; Cercopithecidae
Source: the annotation of a RefSeq genome assembly